Molecule: long non-coding RNA, 1041 nt
Organism: Oncorhynchus tshawytscha (Chinook salmon)
Lineage: Eukaryota; Metazoa; Chordata; Actinopteri; Salmoniformes; Salmonidae
Source: Ensembl
UGAUCUUUAGUCAACUCUUGUCUGCAUCUAGCUGUUCUAGGGUGUGAUCAUUAGUCCAGACUCUUGCCUGCAUCUAGCUGUUCUAGGGGUGUGAUCAUUAUUCCAGACUCUUGCCUGCAUCUAGCUGUUCUAGGGUGUGAUCAUAAUGUCCAAACACAUGCAAACAAGAGUUUCAAAUAACCAUAACCGCUGCACACAGUCAACAUCAUUAUCAAUGUCACCAUAUUGGCUAACAUCAUAGUUAAUAUCGCUCCCUAGAACUAAUGAGUUAGUAUAAUAAUACAAGGAAUAUAGCUCUCUGCAGAUUCUCAAGUGGAAUAAAUUAAUUUGUUCAUAACUAUUCAACUAAUGUCUCUCUCUCUUUGAGUCAACCACAUUUUAAUGCAUUGCAGUGCUAGCUAGCUGGAGUUUAUUGCAUUCAGUACUAGAUUCAUUCUCUGAUCCUUUGAUUAGGUGGACAACAUGUCAGUUCCGUGACGCUACCUUACAGAGUGCUGUUGAGGCUACUGUAGACCUUCGUUGCAAAACAUUUUUAAUCGGGUUAUUUGGUGACGUGAAUAUAUUUACUAUCGUUUUUUUUCUGAACUAAAAAAAAAAAAAACGUGUUUCAUUAUUUUCAAUUUUUCUGAAAUUCACUGAGUAGGAUGGUCUUAGGAGCUACUCUACUGGUUUACACACCUACUCAGGCGCUUGUGGUUGGAGCAGGUCUGAAUUUGUCUUUAGAGUCAUUAACCUGUUUGUGUGUGUGUGUGCCAGUUUAGGAUGUGUUGGUUCUGAAUGGUGUGUUAUUUAGAGAACUGGUUGUGUGUGUGUGUGUGUUAUUUAGAGAACUGGUAACUGGUGUGUGUGUGUGUGUGUUAUUUAGAGAACUGGUUGUGUGUGUGUGUGUGUUAUUUAGAGAACUGGUUGUGUGUGUGUGUGUGUUAUUUAGAGAACUGGCUGUGUGUGUGUGUGUGUUAUUUAGAGAACUGGCUGUGUGUCAUUUAGAUUGCUGGGUGUGUGUGUGUGUGUGUUAUUUAGAGAACUGGCUGUGUGUGUGUG